Molecule: long non-coding RNA, 609 nt
Organism: Girardinichthys multiradiatus
Lineage: Eukaryota; Metazoa; Chordata; Actinopteri; Cyprinodontiformes; Goodeidae
Exons: 3
Source: RefSeq, a predicted model, not a curated record
AAAGUGAGGUGGAUCUCCAGCUCCUGCCCGUCGGCGGCGGUUCAACGUUCCUCGCUGUGGCUCUGCUCUGGAGCGUGUGAGCUCGACUAGCCCCGGCUUUCCGCUAUAUAGGGGCGUUAGGAGCUGAGUUCUGGGUGGUCAGGUGUUUCGCAUGAGUGUCAUCAGCUGGAGGACUAUGAGAAGGAGGCAAGCCAGUACUUCGACUCUUGAGUGUUUUGCCUCUUCGUGGUAUUUAACCUGGCCAAUUCAUGGAACUGUUUCUCUGAGAAGAUUCUGUUCUUGUACCUUGACUAAUGUUUGUUUUUGUCUCAAGUUGACCAAGCCUCGUUCAUGAGAGAUAUCAGAAGGAACUUACCAACAGUUUUUAAUGACUCUGGAUUCUUGUUUUGUUCCGCUGGCAGCCAGAUCAGACUUUGUCCUCACAACUUCAAGCGAACCCUAUCCACCCUCCACCAUAACUCUCAGGACUCUCCUGUUACGGCAGUGUUGCAUAGCCCGCCGCUCACCAGGAUCACAACCUCUCUCCCUGGCGGACUUAACCCUACCCAAUUCUCUCUGCUACUUCUGUUUCCUGCACCUGAGCCUGAAAAUAAAGUUUUCUUAAACGUU